Non-coding RNA from Vicia faba (fava bean), 219 nucleotides. The record is from the annotation of a GenBank genome assembly. NCBI's taxonomy places the organism in Eukaryota, Viridiplantae, Streptophyta, Magnoliopsida, Fabales, Fabaceae.
AUGAAACAACCUGGGUGUGAAGAGUUAAACGGCGGUGGUGGACGAUAUUGUAUGUUAGUGCAGUCCCUCGUGGUGGUUCGAUCGAGAUCUAUGGCGACGGUGGUUCCGAUCAUGUCUUGCACAGAAAUCGGCCAGGCUGUCCGCGACGGUGCGUUGGAGAUUGUUGCUUCUUCGACUGAGAAUUUUCGGCCUCCAAAACAGUUUUUACUCCCUCCCUAA